Molecule: ribosomal RNA, 497 nt
Filed under: uncultured bacterium
Lineage: Bacteria
Description: partial 16S ribosomal RNA
Rfam family: Bacterial small subunit ribosomal RNA
Source: RNAcentral
GAUGAACGCUGGCGGCGUGCCUAAUACAUGCAAGUCGAGCGAACAGACGAGGAGCUUGCUCCUCUGACGUUAGCGGCGGACGGGUGAGUAACACGUGGAUAACCUACCUAUAAGACUGGGAUAACUUCGGGAAACCGGAUCUAAUACCGGAUAAUAUAUUGAACCGCAUGGUUCAAUAGUGAAAGACGGUUUUGCUGUCACUUAUAGAUGGAUCCGCGCCGCAUUAGCUAGUUGGUAAGGUAACGGCUUACCAAGGCAACGAUGCGUAGCCGACCUGAGAGGGUGAUUGGCCACACUGGAACUGAGACACGGUCCAGACUCCUACGGGAGGCAGCAGUAGGGAAUCUUACGCAAUGGGCGAAAGCCUGACGGAGCAACGCCGCGUGAGUGAUGAAGGUCUUCGGAUCGUAAAACUCUGUUAUUAGGGAAGAACAAAUGUGUAAGUAACUAUGCACGUCUUGACGGUACCUAAUCAGAAAGCCACGGCUAACUACGUG